GGUUUGAUCCUAAUCAGAUUGAACGCUGGCAGGAUGCUACAUAGUCGAACGGCAGCACGGACUUCGGUCUGGUGGCGAGUGGCGAACGGGUGAGUAAUGUAUCGGAACGUGCCUAGUAGCGGGGGAUAACUACGCGAAAGCGUAGCUAAUAUACGCCCUUCGGGGAGAAAGCGGGGGACCUUCGGGCCUCGCACUGUAGAGCGGCCGAUAUCGGAUUAGCUAGUUGGUGGGGUAACGGCUCACCAAGGCGACGAUCCGUAGCUGGUUUGAGAGGACGACCAGCCACACUGGGACGGGACACGGCCCAGACCCCUACGGGAGGGCAGCAGUGAAAUUUUGGACAAUGGGGGAAACCUGAAUCCCGGCGCCAUCCGUGUGCGAUGAAGGCCUUCGGGUUGUAAAGCACUUUUGGCAGGGAAAGAAACGGCACGGGAUAAUGCCCCGUGCAACUGACGUACCUGCAGAAUAAGCACCGGCUAACUACGUGCCAGCAGCCGCGGUAAUACGUAGAGUGCAAGCGUUAAUGCAGAUUACUGGGCGUAAACGUGCCGAGCGGUUCGGAAGAAGAUGUGACAUCCCAGAGCUUAACUUUGGAACUGCAUUUUUUUAACUACCGAGCUAGAGUGUGUCAGAGGUGGAACCUGCGUGUAGCAGUGAAAUGCGUAGAUAUGCCGGAGGGCUUACCGAUAGCGAAGGCAGCCUCCUGGGAUAACACUGACGCUCAUGCGUGUGGGAGGAGCAAACAGGAUUCAGAUGCCCUGGUGGUCACGCCCUAAACGAUGUCAACUAGCUGUUGUAGGGGCCUUCGGGCCUUGGUAGCGCAGCUAACGUGAAGUUGGCCGCCUGGGGAGAGUACGGUCGCAAGAUUAAAACUCAAGAUUGACGGGGACCCGCACAAGCGGUGGAUGAUGUGGAUUAAUUCGAUGCAACGCGAAAAACCUUACUACCCUUGACGUGUCUGGAAUCCGAAGAGAUUUGGGAGUGCUCGCAAGAGAACCGGAACACAGGUGCUGCAUGGCUGUCGUCAAUAAGCCGUGAGAUGUUGGGUUGAUCACAACACGAGCGCAACCCUUGUCAUUGGUUUUGCUACAGAAAGGGCACUCUAAUGAGACUGCCGACGACCUCUCGAAGCCAGGAGGGAAGGUGGGGAUGACGUCAAGUCCUCAUGGCCCUUAUGGUGGGAGCUUCACACGUCAUGCAAUGGUCGAGACAGAGGGUCGCCAACCCCCGCGAGGGGAGCCAAUCCGAAAACUGAUCGUAGUCCGGAUCGCAGUCUGCAACUCGACUGCGUGAAGUCCGGAAUGUCUGGUAAUCGCGGAUCGGCAUGUCGCGGUGAAUACGUUCCCGGGUCUUGUACACACCGCCCGUCACACCAUGGGAGUGGGUUUUACCAGAAGUAGUUAGCUAACCGUAAGGAGGGCGAUUACGGUAAGUUCAUGACUGGGGUGAAGUCGUAACAAGGUAA
RNAcentral lists this ribosomal RNA (1465 nucleotides) under uncultured Bordetella sp. RNAcentral describes it as "partial 16S-23S ribosomal RNA intergenic spacer". It matches the Rfam family "Bacterial small subunit ribosomal RNA". Lineage: Bacteria; Pseudomonadati; Pseudomonadota; Betaproteobacteria; Burkholderiales; Alcaligenaceae. The record is from RNAcentral.